This 469-nucleotide ribosomal RNA is filed under the name uncultured Pelotomaculum sp. Its description in RNAcentral is "bacterial SSU rRNA". It matches the Rfam family "Bacterial small subunit ribosomal RNA", at positions 912 to 1382 of the family's 1533-position model. Lineage: Bacteria; Bacillati; Bacillota; Clostridia; Eubacteriales; Desulfotomaculaceae. The record is from RNAcentral.
GACGGGGCCGCGACAAGCGUGGAGCAUGUGGUUAAUUCGACGCAACGCGAAGAACCUACCAGGCUUGACAUCCCCUGACCGCGUAUGAAAGUACGUUUCGACCCUCGGGUGACAGGGAGACAGGUGGUGCAUGGUUGUCGUCAGCUCGUGUCGUGAGAUGUUGGGUUAAGUCCCGCAACGAGCGCAACCCCUACGUUUAGUUGCUAACGCGUGAAGGCGAGCACUCUAGACGAACUGCCGUUGACAAAACGGAGGAAGGUGGGGAUGACGUCAAAUCAUCAUGCCCCUUAUGUUCUGGGCUACGCACGUGCUACAAUGGCCGGUACAGACGGACGCAAAGCCGCGAGGUGGAGCAAAUCCUAAAAAGCCGGUCUCAGUUCGGAUUGCAGGCUGCAAUUCGCCUGCAUGAAGAUGGAGUUGCUAGUAACCGCAGGUCAGCAAUACUGCGGUGAAUACGUUCCCGGGUCUU